UACAGAGGGGGCAAGCGUUGUUCGGAAUUACUGGGCGUAAAGGGCGCGUAGGCGGCCUGUUAAGUCGAACGUGAAAUCCCCAGGCUUAACCUGGGAACUGCAUCCGAUACUGGAUGGCUUGAAUCCGGGAGAGGGAUGCAGAAUUCCAGGUGUAGCGGUGAAAUGCGUAGAUAUCUGGAGGAAUACCGGUGGCGAAGGCGGCAUCCUGGACCGGCAUUGACGCUGAGGAGCGAAAGCUAGGGGAGCAAACGGG
RNAcentral lists this ribosomal RNA (253 nucleotides) under uncultured bacterium. RNAcentral's name for it is "partial 16S ribosomal RNA". It matches the Rfam family "Bacterial small subunit ribosomal RNA", at positions 524 to 776 of the family's 1533-position model. The record is from RNAcentral.